UGUCCCAUGGCUUAGUUGGUGACGUCGCCCGAGUGUCAUAAUAUUCACUUGAUUUCCGAGGAUAUACAUCGGGAGAUCGAGAGUUCAAGUCUCUCUGGGACAG
Molecule: non-coding RNA, 103 nt
Organism: Tephrocybe rancida
Lineage: Eukaryota; Fungi; Basidiomycota; Agaricomycetes; Agaricales; Lyophyllaceae
Source: the annotation of a GenBank genome assembly